RNAcentral lists this unclassified non-coding RNA (406 nucleotides) under Hevea brasiliensis (rubber tree). Lineage: Eukaryota; Viridiplantae; Streptophyta; Magnoliopsida; Malpighiales; Euphorbiaceae. The record is from RNAcentral.
GUACCUUUAAUCAAAUUCUACGAUUAUGAGGCAAAGUACUCUCCGGGCGCAUCAAAACACAUCCUGCCUGCACCUAUUUUACCUUUUGUUUACCAGGAAGUCCGAAGGUUAACGCUGGCGGCGCAUGUGGCGCUUGGCUGCCGGGGCGUAAGCCGUGCGGACUUCCGUUACGACGAUCGCAUCGAGGGAACAGGGGGAUUGACCUGCCUCGAGGUGAACACCCAACCCGGCAUGACCGAGACGUCACUUGUUCCAGAGCUUGCGGCUCACGCAGGCGUAACAUUUGACGAGUUGGUGCAAUGGAUGGUGGAGGACGCCUCUCUCGAUCGGUGAGAUCGCAGAGGCCCCAAUCUAAUCCUCAGACGAGGGGCGCUUCCGCAGCCCAGCGUCCGCGCGCCCGCGCGCA